Small nucleolar RNA from Dioscorea cayenensis subsp. rotundata (Guinea yam), 106 nucleotides. NCBI's taxonomy places the organism in Eukaryota, Viridiplantae, Streptophyta, Magnoliopsida, Dioscoreales, Dioscoreaceae. The record is from RefSeq and is a predicted model, not a curated record.
AAACCAUGGUGGGGGAUAGUAUUAAUAGCUCUUUAAAUCUAUCCCUUGCGCCAUACACGGAUUCAUUGUCUUUCUGAGCAAAGCUAGUGAUCUGAUUUCUCAAUUG